Molecule: ribosomal RNA, 497 nt
Filed under: uncultured bacterium
Lineage: Bacteria
Description: partial 16S ribosomal RNA
Rfam family: Bacterial small subunit ribosomal RNA
Source: RNAcentral
GAUGAACGCUGGCGGCGUGCCUAAUACAUGCAAGUCGAGCGAACGGACGAGAAGCUUGCUUCUCUGAUGUUAGCGGCGGACGGGUGAGUAACACGUGGAUAACCUACCUAUAAGACUGGGAUAACUUCGGGAAACCGGAGCUAAUACCGGAUAAUAUUUUGAACCGCAUGGUUCAAAAGUGAAAGACGGUCUUGCUGUCACUUAUAGAUGGAUCCGCGCUGCAUUAGCUAGUUGGUAAGGUAACGGCUUACCAAGGCAACGAUGCAUAGCCGACCUGAGAGGGUGGUCGGCCACACUGGAACUGAGACACGGUCCAGACUCCUACGGGGGGCAGCAGUAGGGAAUCUUCCGCAAUGGGCGAAAGACUGACGGAGCAACGCCGCGUGAGUGAUGAAGGUCUUCGGAUCGUAAAACUCUGUUAUUAGGGAAGAACAUAUGUGUAAGUAACUGUGCACAUCUUGACGGUACCUAAUCAGAAAGCCACGGCUAACUACGUG